This 253-nucleotide ribosomal RNA is filed under the name uncultured bacterium. RNAcentral's name for it is "partial 16S ribosomal RNA". It matches the Rfam family "Bacterial small subunit ribosomal RNA", at positions 524 to 776 of the family's 1533-position model. The record is from RNAcentral.
UACAGAGGUCUCAAGCGUUGUUCGGAUUCAUUGGGCGUAAAGGGUGCGUAGGCGGCGCGGUAAGUCGGGUGUGAAAUCUCGGAGCUUAACUCCGAAACUGCAUUCGAUACUGCCGUGCUUGAGGACUGGGGAGGAGACUGGAAUUUACGGUGUAGCGGUGAAAUGCGUAGAUAUCGUAAGGAAGACCAGUGGCGAAGGCGGGUCUCUGGACAGUUCCUGACGCUGAGGCACGAAGGUCAGGGGAGCAAACGGG